UACGUAGGUGGCAAGCGUUAUCCGGAAUUAUUGGGCGUAAAGAGCGCGCAGGUGGUUUCUUAAGUCUGAUGUGAAAGCCCACGGCUCAACCGUGGAGGGUCAUUGGAAACUGGGAGACUUGAGUGCAGAAGAGGAAAGUGGAAUUCCAUGUGUAGCGGUGAAAUGCGUAGAGAUAUGGAGGAACACCAGUGGCGAAGGCGACUUUCUGGUCUGUAACUGACACUGAGGCGCGAAAGCGUGGGGAGCAAACAGG
Molecule: ribosomal RNA, 253 nt
Filed under: uncultured bacterium
Lineage: Bacteria
Description: partial 16S ribosomal RNA
Rfam family: Bacterial small subunit ribosomal RNA
Source: RNAcentral